Molecule: ribosomal RNA, 406 nt
Filed under: uncultured bacterium
Lineage: Bacteria
Description: partial 16S ribosomal RNA
Rfam family: Bacterial small subunit ribosomal RNA
Source: RNAcentral
AUUGAACGCUGGCGGCAGGCCUAACACAUGCAAGUCGAACGAGUGGCGGACGGGGGAUUAAUGUCUGGGAAACUGCCUGAUGGAGGGGGAUGACUACUGGAAACGGUAGCUGAUACCGCAUACCAUCGGAUGUGCCCAUAUGGGAUUAGCUAGGAGGUGGGGUAAAGGCUCGGCUGGGCGACGAUCCCUAGCUGGGCUGAGAGGAGGACCAGCGGCACUGGAACUGAGCCACGGUCCUGACUCCUACGGGAGGCAGCAGUGGGGAAUAUGGCACAAUGGGCGCAAGCCUGAUGCAGCCAGGCCGCGUGUAUGAAGAAGGCCUUCGGGUUGUAAAGUACUUUCAGCGGGGAGGCGUUACCCGCAGAAGAAGCACCGGCUAACUCCGUGCCAGCCGCCGCGGUAAUAC